UUAAAAAUAAGCUAAAUAAAGCUUUUGGGGUUCAUACCCCCAACUAUAAAGGGAAACCCUUUUUUUUAAA
Molecule: transfer RNA, 70 nt
Filed under: Lymantria xylina
Lineage: Eukaryota; Metazoa; Arthropoda; Insecta; Lepidoptera; Erebidae
Description: tRNA-Met
Source: RNAcentral